GAUGAACGCUGGCGGCGUGCCUAAUACAUGCCAGUCGAGCGAACGGACGAGAAGCUUGCUUCUCUGAUGUUAGCGGCGGACGGGUGAGUAACACGUGGAUAACCUACCUAUAAGACUGGGAUAACUUCGGGAAACCGGAGCUAAUACCGGAUAAUAUUUUGAACCGCAUGGUUCAAAAGUGAAAGACGGUCUUGCUGUCACUUAUAGAUGGAUCCGCGCUGCAUUAGCUAGUUGGUAAGGUAACGGCUUACCAAGGCAACAAUGCAUAGCCGACCUGAGAGGGUGAUCGGCCACACUGGAACUGAGACACGGUCCAGACUCCUACGGGAGGCAGCAGUAGGGAAUCUUCCGCAAUGGGCGAAAGCCUGACGGAGCAACGCCGCGUGAGUGAUGAAGGUCUUCGGAUCGUAAAACUCUGUUAUUAGGGAAGAACAUAUGUGUAAGUAACUGUGCACAUCUUGACGGUACCUAAUCAGAAAGCCACGGCUAACUACGUG
This 497-nucleotide ribosomal RNA is filed under the name uncultured bacterium. Its description in RNAcentral is "partial 16S ribosomal RNA". It matches the Rfam family "Bacterial small subunit ribosomal RNA", at positions 28 to 507 of the family's 1533-position model. The record is from RNAcentral.